GGUGGAUGCCUUGGCACUAAGAGCCGAUGAAAGACGUGAUAAGCUGCGAAAAGCUUCGGGGAGGAGCAAAUAUCCUUUGAUCCGGAGAUAUCUGAAUGGGGAAACCCGGCUGAGCAAACCUCAGUCACUGCAUGGUGAAUCCAUAGCCAUGCAGAGGGAACCCGGUGAACUGAAACAUCUAAGUAGCCGGAGGAAGAGAAAGAAACAUCGAUUCCCAAAGUAGCGGCGAGCGAAAUGGGAAGAGCCCAAACCAGCGUGCGUGCAUGCUGGGGUUAUGGACUGCAAACGUGAACCGAUUUGUUAGUGGAACUGUCUGGGAAGUCAGGCCAGAGAGGGUGAAAGCCCCGUACACGAAAACAAUAGGAAGCAGCAGGAUCCAGAGUACCACGAGACACGAGAAACCUUGUGGGAAGUCGGAGGGACCACCCUCCAAGGCUAAAUACUCCUUAGUGACCGAUAGCGCAUAGUACUGUGAAGGAAAGGUGAAAAGGACCCCGGGAGGGGAGUGAAAGAGAACCUGAAACCCUGUGUUUACAAGCUGUGGGAGCACGUUAAGGUGCGACCGCGUACUUUUUGUAGAACGGUCCGGCGAGUUGCCGGUACUGGCAAGGUUAAGAGCUUAAGGCUCGGAGCCGAAGGGAAACCAAGUCUCAAAUGGGCGUCAAGUCAGUACAGGCAGACCCGAAACCGGGUGACCUAUCCAUGUCCAGGUUGAAGCGGAAGUAAAAUUCCGUGGAGGACCGGAUCCACAUCCGUUGAAAAGGGUGGGAAUGAGGUGUGGAUAGGGGAGAAAUUCCAAUCGAACCCGGAGAUAGCUGGUUCUCCUCGAAAUAGCUUUAGGGCUAGCCUCAUAUUAGUUUAGCGGAGGUAGAGCACUGAAUUCCUAAGGGGGCGUCAAAGCUUACCAAGGGAUAUCAAACUCCGAAUGCCGCGUAAAUGAUGUAUGGGAGUCAGACUGCACGAGAUAAGUUGGGUAGUCAAAAGGGAAAGAGCCCAGACCUACAGCUAAGGUCCCAAAGUGUGUGUUAAGUGGAAAAGGAUGUGGGAUUUCAAAGACAACUAGGAUGUUGGCUCAGAAGCAGCCACACAUUCAAAGAGUGCGUAAUAGCUCACUAGUCGAGAGGUCCUGCGCCGAAAAUGUCCGGGGCUGAAACACAACACCGAAGCUUAGGAAUGUACGUAAGUACAUUGGUAGAGGAGCAUUCUUAGUGCGGAGAAGCGGUACCGAUAAGGAGCCGUGGAGCGUUAAGAAGAGAGAAUGCCGGAAUGAGUAGCGAGAUGGAGGUGGGAAUCCUCCAGGCCGAAUAUCCAAGGUUUCCAGAGUAAAGCUGAUCUGCUCUGGGUAAGUCGGGGCCUAAGGCGAGGUCGAAAGACGUAGUCGAUGGAUAACAGGUUGAGAUUCCUGUACUGCUGUAUAACAGAACUGUGGGGACACAGAGGGAGAGCACAUCCCGGGAAUGGAAAUACCGGGGCAAGCGAGGUAGGAGCUGCAAUGGCAAAUCCGUGUAGCAAUCCAAAGGCGUGAUGCAUAACGAAAUUUAGUAGUGAAUUGUGUGAGCCAGCUGUCAAGAAAAGCCGCUAUUGUUUGUACAGUACCCGUACCGUAAACCGACACAGGUGGAUGAGGAGAGAAUCCUAAGGCCGACGGAAGAAGCAUUGUUAAGGAACUCGGCAAAAUGACCCCGUAACUUCGGGAGAAGGGGUGCCACAGAGAUGUGGCCGCAGAGAAUAGGCUCAAGCAACUGUUUAGCAAAAACACAGGUCUAUGCGAAACCGAAAGGUGAGGUAUAUGGGCUGACGCCUGCCCGGUGCUGGAAGGUUAAGAGGAGAGGUUAGCGCAAGCGAAGCUUUGAAUUUAAGCCCCAGUAAACGGCGGCCGUAACUAUAACGGUCCUAAGGUAGCGAAAUUCCUUGUCGGGUAAGUUCCGACCCGCACGAAAGGCGUAAUGAUUUGAGCGCUGUCUCGACAAUGCACCCGGUGAAAUUGAAGUACCAGUGAAGAUGCUGGUUACCUGCGCCAGGACGGAAAGACCCCAUGGAGCUUUACUCCAGCUUGAUACUGGGAUUCGGUAUUGCAUGUACAGGAUAGGUGGGAGACAAGGAAAUGGUGACGCCAGUUGCCAUGGAGUCAAUGUUGGGAUACCACCCUUGCAGUAUUGGAUUUCUAACCAGCGACCAUGAACUGGUCGGGGGACAAUGUCAGGUGGGGAGUUUGACUGGGGCGGUCGCCUCCGAAAGGGUAUCGGAGGCGCUCAAAGGUUCCCUCAGAAUGGUUGGAAACCAUUCGAAGAGUGCAAAGGCAGAAGGGAGCUUGACUGCGACACCGACGGGUGGAGCAGGUACGAAAGUAGGACUUAGUGAUCCGGUGGUAUAAAGUGGGAUUGCCAUCGCUCAACGGAUAAAAGCUACCCUGGGGAUAACAGGCUUAUCACUCCCAAGAGUUCACAUCGACGGAGUGGUUUGGCACCUCGAUGUCGGCUCAUCGCAUCCUGGGGCUGUAGUAGGUCCCAAGGGUUGGGCUGUUCGCCCAUUAAAGCGGUACGCGAGCUGGGUUCAGAACGUCGUGAGACAGUUCGGUCCCUAU
Molecule: ribosomal RNA, 2584 nt
Filed under: human gut metagenome
Description: bacterial LSU rRNA
Rfam family: Bacterial large subunit ribosomal RNA
Source: RNAcentral